GUGUCAGCCGCCGCGGUAAAACGUAGGUGGCAAGCGUUAUCCGGAUUUACUGGGCGUAAAGGGUGUGCAGGCGGGGUAGCAAGUGGUGUAUGAAAUCUCCAGGCUUAACCUGGAGGGGUUAUGCCAGACUGCUGCUCUAGAGGACGAGAGAGGGGGGUGGAAUUCCGGGUGUAGUGGUGAAAUGCGUAGAGAUCCGGAGGAACCCCAGAGGCGAAGGCGGCCCCCUGGCUCGUACCUGACGCUCAGCCACGAAAGCAUGGGGAGCGAACGGGAUUAGAAACCCGAGUAGUCC
This 292-nucleotide ribosomal RNA is filed under the name uncultured bacterium. Its description in RNAcentral is "partial 16S ribosomal RNA". It matches the Rfam family "Bacterial small subunit ribosomal RNA", at positions 505 to 796 of the family's 1533-position model. The record is from RNAcentral.